UGGGGAAUAUUGGACAAUGGGCGAAAGCCUGAUCCAGCCAUGCCGCGUGUGUGAAGAAGGUCUUCGGAUUGUAAAGCACUUUAAGUUGGGAGGAAGGGCAGUAAGCUAAUACCUUACUGUUUUGACGUUACCGACAGAAUAAGCACCGGCUAACUCUGCGCCAG
This 164-nucleotide ribosomal RNA is filed under the name uncultured bacterium. RNAcentral describes it as "partial 16S rRNA". It matches the Rfam family "Bacterial small subunit ribosomal RNA", at positions 355 to 511 of the family's 1533-position model. The record is from RNAcentral.